RNAcentral lists this long non-coding RNA (451 nucleotides) under Vigna radiata. Its description in RNAcentral is "long non-coding RNA (VRAD_LNC016532)". Lineage: Eukaryota; Viridiplantae; Streptophyta; Magnoliopsida; Fabales; Fabaceae. The record is from RNAcentral.
UCAAAUUAAAAUCAUAAUUUUCUCUUUAGGAAGAAACUGAAUACAACAAUCAAUAUAGUAUUUUUAAUUAUUGCUUGUAAUGAUUGUCAUAAUGUUGAUUCGAAUUAUUACCAAAUAAAACAAAAUUUCGAAAAUAUUCUAAAGUGAUUUGUCAUGCAUUAAUAUUAAUUGCUUAUGGGCAUUUUUCCAAGGAAAUCAAAUCCAAUUCAUCACGUGCAGCACCUCUCCCAUUUAAUCACCAUUUUUUUCUUUUCAUUUUAUUCCCGUACACCCGUUUUUUUCCUUUUUAUUCUUUUUCCUUUUUUCUUUUUUUUUUCUUUUCCCUUUUUUCUCUUUUAUUCUUUUUCUUUUUUUUUCUUUUUUUCAAAAUGAAUAUAAAAAAUAAAAUAAAAUAAAAUAAUAAUAAAGAAAGCUAAAUCAAAUACCAAAUAGUAAAAAAAAUUAAAAAAAU